RNAcentral lists this ribosomal RNA (316 nucleotides) under uncultured bacterium. RNAcentral describes it as "bacterial SSU rRNA". It matches the Rfam family "Bacterial small subunit ribosomal RNA", at positions 28 to 334 of the family's 1533-position model. The record is from RNAcentral.
GACGAACGCUGGCGGCGUGCCUAAUACAUGCAAGUAGAACGCUGAGGACUGGUGCUUGCACCGGUUCAAGGAGUUGCGAACGGGUGAGUAACGCGUAGGUAACCUACCUCAUAGCGGGGGAUAACUAUUGGAAACGAUAGCUAAUACCGCAUGACAAUGGAGGACCCAUGUCUUUCAUUUAAAAGGUGCAACUGCAUCACUAUGAGAUGGACCUGCGUUGUAUUAGCUAGUUGGUGAGGUAACGGCUCACCAAGGCGACGAUACAUAGCCGACCCGAGAGGGUGAACGGCCACAAGGGGACUGAGACACGGCCCUU